RNAcentral lists this transfer RNA (38 nucleotides) under Hippotragus equinus (roan antelope). RNAcentral describes it as "partial tRNA-Ser". The record is from RNAcentral. Lineage: Eukaryota; Metazoa; Chordata; Mammalia; Artiodactyla; Bovidae.
GAAAAAGUAUGCAAGAACUGCUAACUCUAUGCCCCCGU